ACUGUAACUGUCUUCAGACACACCAGAAGAGGGCAUCAGAUCUUAUUACAGAUGGUUGUGAACCACCAUGUGGUUACCGGGAUUUGAACUCAGGACCUCCAGAAGAGCAGUCAGUACUCUUAACCACUGAGCCAUCUCUCCAGCCCAGCCCCCAUUUUUUUUUCGUCCUUAAUCUCCCAAGCCUAAAUCUGAAUUCUUUACCCGAAGCUGGUGUCUACUCUAUUAGCAACAUGCCUGUUGUUAUAACGACUUCUUCUCACGCCCUAGCUUCAUCUUCUCCAUGGUUGGUCUGUACUACAUCAACAAGAUAUCCUCCACUCUGUACCAGGCUACAGCUCCAGCCCUCACGCCGGCCAAAGUCACUGGCAAGAGCAAGAAGAGAAACUGACUGGGAAUGAGUAAUAAGAACGAGUAAUAAAGUUGCUUCUUUGU
Molecule: long non-coding RNA, 432 nt
Filed under: Rattus norvegicus (Norway rat)
Lineage: Eukaryota; Metazoa; Chordata; Mammalia; Rodentia; Muridae
Description: long non-coding RNA NONRATT015447
Source: RNAcentral